Mastomys coucha (southern multimammate mouse) is the source of this 764-nucleotide long non-coding RNA. RefSeq lists it as uncharacterized. The transcript is spliced from 3 exons. The record is from RefSeq and is a predicted model, not a curated record. NCBI's taxonomy places the organism in Eukaryota, Metazoa, Chordata, Mammalia, Rodentia, Muridae.
CCUAAGAGGAGCCCACAGAGAGCUCUCUCUGUAGUUAUACAUAGGAGACAGCUGUCGACAAGCCAGAGGGAGCGCUCACACCAUACAGCAAAUUUGCUAGCAUCUUGAUAUCAACAUAGAGCUUACAGAGCUCUGAGAAUAAUGGCUGGAUCUCAUCCCCCAGAGCAGCUGUCUUCCAAGCAGUUUUCUGUGGACUUCAUCCGGAAACCUGUUCCACACAUGAACUCUUGGCUUGUCUUCCUAGGAGUGGGUCUCAGCAGCCUGCGCCUCCCCCUGAGGGUACUUGGAUGUCUGCAAGCUCUGGUCUGAGAGGAAGCUGCUAGGCAACAUGGUGGGGUGGGCACCUGAAGAGUCACAAAGCUGUGCAAGCAGAUACACAUACGAUGGAGUGGGAAAGAGAGGAUGGAGGGGACCUCUUAAGGAGGCUGAGCUUCGUCUAGACACUAAAGGAAAAAGGAAGCGCGGCCUGAGCAGGAUACAGAAGAAACUAGAGAAAGGAGAACAGUUCGAAGAGAUGCUCUGUGGUUAUCACCUACAGCUUGCUUCUUCAAGUGCGGUCCCACACCUGGUCAUCUGGGAGCGAGUGAGGCUGUGAAUCUCUGGUUCCAUACUGACACUGAAUCUAAACCUGCAUUUUAACUAAAGCCCUAGGUAACACACAACCACAUAAACAGUCUCCGUGGCCACUGGGAACUGACAGCCUGCUUUGUGUGCAAGAAGUAGGGAGGAGAAUUGUACAUCACAUAUCUCCAAGACUAGGUCAC